CAAUAGCGUAUAUUUAAGUUGUUGCAGUUAAAAAGCUCGUAGUUGGAUUUCGGAUGGGAUUUGCCGGUCCGUCGUUACGAUGUGCACUGGCCAGUCCUAUCUUGUUGUCGGGGACUAGCUCCUUGGAUUCACUUCCUGGGACUAGGAGCUGACGAGGUUACUUUGAGUAAAUUAGAGUGUUCAAAGCAAGCCUACGCUCUGAAUACAUUAGCAUGGAAUAACACGAUAGGACUCUGGCUUAUCUUGUUGGUCUGUGAGACCAGAGUAAUGAUUAAGAGGGACAGUCGGGGACAUUCGUAUUUCAUUGUCAGAGGUGAAAUUCUUGGAUUUAUGAGAGACGAACUUCUGCGAAAGCAUUCGUCAAGGAUGUUUUCAUUAA
This 379-nucleotide ribosomal RNA is filed under the name uncultured eukaryote. Its description in RNAcentral is "partial 18S ribosomal RNA". It matches the Rfam family "Eukaryotic small subunit ribosomal RNA", at positions 592 to 976 of the family's 1831-position model. The record is from RNAcentral.